CGAUAAUGCCCCGGGAGCGCCUGUAGUCAGAGAAUCACAGCCCGUAUGUGUGGGGGGCAUCUACUGGCCAGCCCUGGACUCCCUGACUAGUAAUGAUCCCAGAGCCACGUUCACACAACCGUCAGGCCCCUUUCACAUGAAUUGCCUUUCAGGGUGUCUGGCUCCAGCCAAUGCAUGAGAGAGGCGUGCUUGGAGAAGAUCCUGCCCUCGCGGAGCAAUUUGGACCAAGCCAAAAGCCAUGGAUGUGGAGAAGCUCAUUGUCCUUGUCCAGGAGAGGCCCUGCAUUUGGGACACAAGGUCGGGGGAAUACCAUAUGACCGGUACAGGAGGCAGCGAGGGUGGACAUAGCCCAGGAGUUCACAGCCAUAUGGGAUAAAACUAAAGGCCAGAGUGUGGAACGGAGGACAACCUUGAGGAGGAAGCAGACGAGUCGGCUCCCCAGCACUCAAGCACCUGUGAGGACGAGACUCCCUCUGGUCCACCUCCUUCAGAGACUGCAGAAAGACCCGCCACCUCUGCAGCCUCGUGUCCCGCUGCUUCGGGAGUCUAUUCCCCCCCCCACACACAUACACACUUUUCCCCUACCCAGCUGGCAAAGGAGAUGCCUCCUGCCGAAGCUCUGGUCAAUAGCCAGGUCCUGGAUUAUUAUUUGGCUAGAGCCUGGCAGGAGGACCAGUUUAACUUAUAUUCAAGAAGUCUGGCCUUAUUUGCGGAGUUUGCCUCCAGAACGAUUGCUGAUAACCAAAGGAGCUCUCGGAAUCGUUCUGGAGGCAGCCACUCCGCCAAAUGAUCCGACAGACAUUUUUGUCGCCCUGGAAAAUUGGUGCACCCAUGGGCACAUGUCUGGCCCCAGCCCAAUGGCCAUUCCACAGGGUCCGCCAAACUUCCCCAGUUAGUAGGGUACGUUGUGGCCUACCAAGUCGGCCAUAUGGCUCACCAUAUCAGGCCAGACUUCCUAUGGGCAGCCUGUCCCCUCCUCAUCUCAGGCUGGCCCAUCUGUGCACUCUGGCCCCCCUACACAACCCUCCCGCCAUGGCUCACAGUUUCAGGGUCCCCCAUUGCCACCUGGCCGGUUCCUGAAUUAGUAAAUGUUAUUUUCUAUAUUUUCUAUAUGUUAUUAUGAAAAAAAAAGGCAAGUUGACUCAUCUGCA
This is a long non-coding RNA of Bufo gargarizans (Asiatic toad), 1151 nucleotides long. RefSeq lists it as uncharacterized. The record is from RefSeq and is a predicted model, not a curated record. Lineage: Eukaryota; Metazoa; Chordata; Amphibia; Anura; Bufonidae. The transcript is spliced from 3 exons.